This is an RNA transcript of Capsicum annuum, 1280 nucleotides long. It is a transcript of the gene named protein NUCLEAR FUSION DEFECTIVE 6, mitochondrial, with no coding region annotated. The record is from RefSeq and is a predicted model, not a curated record. Lineage: Eukaryota; Viridiplantae; Streptophyta; Magnoliopsida; Solanales; Solanaceae. The transcript has 4 exons.
AUCAUUUGCAAUCAAUACAAACAAAUUCCCUUUGUGGAUUGAGAUAGAAAAUAAUCAAAAUCAAAUUGUUAUAUUCACAAAACAAAGAUAAAAAAAGAAGUAGAUUCUAGUUAAAUUUCAUUAUUAUCUUCUUCAAAUAUCUUCGUCAAUCUAAAUUAGUGGUCUCUAGUGCCAUUUCCUUUUUCUUUUGUGGUCUUUUUAUCUAUUAGAUCAAAAGUUGGGAAAGGCCCGAAAUUAUCAGAACCUAAAACCCCAACAAAGCCCUUUUUCCACUUCGCCGGUAGAAACUAACUCAUCUCCCUCGAUCCCAAAAAUGGCCUCUUUCGCCGCCAGGUCUGUUCUCCGCUCCGCCACUUCCUCCGCCAGAAACGCCGCCACUAGACUCGCCGCCGGCGCCAAGCCCAAGGCUGCUUCUUCUCCCUUUCGCAUCCCUACUCAAAAAGCCCUCACUGCUCGCAUUUUCAGGUCGCCUGUUGAAAUGAGUUGUGCAGUGGAAACUAUGCUUCCUUAUCAUACUGCUACUGCUUCCGCUUUGCUGACUUCAAUGCUCUCUGCUACUCCGAGGAGUUAUGGUUGGACUCUUGAAGAUUGCAAUGAUGAUCUAUGAUGAAUGUCGGAGGGUUCAAGCGAAGUUUAAUGUCCCCACACACUGAGAGAAUGUCUGAAAAAUAGAGUACUGUAUGAGCUCUGAUGCAGAAACACAUAUUUUCUUCUGUGACUUUCAUUUGAUUUAUCAUCCCAAUCUUCCCAUUUGGCCUGUUCUAGUAAAUUCUGGCUUCGUUUGGAGUAUUUAUUUGGUUUUAUUUUUUAGUUCAAACUCCUUUGGAGCUUCGAGGCUUAUGACUAUAUGAGAAAAAUGAGUAAACGAGUAGAACUCAAGAUGGAUGAUUGUUAAAAUGUUUUGGGACGCGGUGCAUGUUUUCAUAGUGCAACGGAUCUAUAUUGAUGGUGUAACAAUAGAGCUCGAGUUUUCUUCUUGAUGUAUUGUGGAGUGAAAUGAUGUUCUUUGUUUCCCCUGGCACACACAAGGGUUUCAUUAACAAAAAGAGAUACAUAUAAGUUUUUCUAUAUGGAGUAGAUGUCUGUUAAUUUAAGUUCGCAUCCGGUAAGAGUAUCAGAGCUGCGUAGAGUAUUCAACUAUUCAAGCAUCUGCAAUGAUGCUAAUGAAGUUUCUUUGGCUUUUUCUUUUUCCUUUUAGAAAGGUUUUCAUAUUCAGAUUUCCUUUGCUGCUGACUCUUGUUCUUUUUAUUGAGUUAAGAAGGACGAUAAGGUCAAAACAA